GGGAAUGUAGCUCAGCUAGAGUGCUUGCCUCACAUGCAUGAGGCCCUGGGUUCAAUUUCUCAGCACCA
RNAcentral lists this transfer RNA (68 nucleotides) under Dipodomys ordii (Ord's kangaroo rat). It matches the Rfam family "tRNA". From Rfam's summary of the family: Transfer RNA (tRNA) molecules are approximately 80 nucleotides in length. Their secondary structure includes four short double-helical elements and three loops (D, anti-codon, and T loops). Further hydrogen bonds mediate the characteristic L-shaped molecular structure. tRNAs have two regions of fundamental functional importance: the anti-codon, which is responsible for specific mRNA codon recognition, and the 3' end, to which the tRNAs corresponding amino acid is attached (by aminoacyl-tRNA synthetases). tRNAs cope with the degeneracy of the genetic code in two manners: having more than one tRNA (with a specific anti-codon) for a particular amino acid; and 'wobble' base-pairing, i.e. permitting non-standard base-pairing at the 3rd anti-codon position. Lineage: Eukaryota; Metazoa; Chordata; Mammalia; Rodentia; Heteromyidae. The record is from Rfam by way of RNAcentral.